This 156-nucleotide small nuclear RNA is filed under the name Mus caroli (Ryukyu mouse). Its description in RNAcentral is "predicted gene, 23214 (MGP_CAROLIEiJ_G0035192.1)". The stretch from base 1 to 72 matches the Rfam family "U4 spliceosomal RNA". The record is from RNAcentral. Lineage: Eukaryota; Metazoa; Chordata; Mammalia; Rodentia; Muridae.
AGCUUUGUGCAGUGGCAGUAUCGUAGCCAAUGAGGUUUAUCUGAGGCGUAAUUAUUGCUAAUUAAAAUAUCCGUUGUUCAGUGGCUUUCAGGACAUUUAUUAUUAUCAGUCUGCAUAUAAUAUUGAUGUACCUGCUUUUUAAAGAAAUCAAGGAUU